RNAcentral lists this ribosomal RNA (330 nucleotides) under uncultured eukaryote. RNAcentral describes it as "partial 18S ribosomal RNA". It matches the Rfam family "Eukaryotic small subunit ribosomal RNA", at positions 1470 to 1796 of the family's 1831-position model. The record is from RNAcentral.
CCCUUAGAUGUUCUGGGCCGCACGCGCACUACACUGAUGCAUUCAACGAGUCUAAAACCUGGUCUGAUAGGGCUGGGUAAUCUUUUGAAAGUGCAUCGUGAUUGGGAUAGAUGAUUGCAAUUCUUCAUCUUCAACGAGGAAUGCCUAGUAAACGCAAGUCAUCAGCUUGCAUUGAUUACGUCCCUGCCCUUUGUACACACCGCCCGUCGCUCCUACCGAUUGAAUGAUCCGAUGAAUACCAUGGAUUGAGAGUACGAAUGGGUUCGCUCAUUUCUGCUGCUCGAGAAGUGGAGUAAAUCUUAUCAUUUAGAGGAAGGAGAAGUCGUAACA